AACUUUUAACAACGGAUCACUUGGUUCUGGCAUCGAUGAAGAACGCAGCGAAAUGCGAUAAGUAAUGUGAAUUGCAGAAUACAGUGAAUCAUCGAAUCUUUGAACGCACAUAGCGCCCAUUAGUAUUCUAUUGGGCAUGCCUGUUCGAGCGUCAUUUCAACCCUUAAGCUCAGCUUAGUGUUGGGAAUCUACCGAGAGCGGUGUUACACGCUACCUACCCUAUAACGGUGCUAGGUUUUCCUGUAGCGUCCCUGUAGUUCCUUAAAUCCAACGGCGGAGGCAUGGUCAUCUCUGAGCGCAGUAAUUUUUAUCACGCUUUUGAAGAUGCUAUAGCCCUUGCCGGUAAACCCCCAAUUUUUUAAGGGUUGACCUCGGAUCAGGUAGGAAUACCCGCUGAACUUAAGCAUAUCAAUAAGCGGAGGCU
RNAcentral lists this unclassified non-coding RNA (424 nucleotides) under uncultured Sordariomycetes. Its description in RNAcentral is "sequence contains ITS2". The stretch from base 1 to 154 matches the Rfam family "5.8S ribosomal RNA". The record is from RNAcentral. Lineage: Eukaryota; Fungi; Ascomycota; Sordariomycetes.